GGGGGUGUAGCUCAGCUGGUAAGAGCGCUGGCCUGUCAAGCCAGAGGUCGCGGGUUCGAGCCCCGUCACUCCCGCCA
Molecule: transfer RNA, 77 nt
Filed under: Actinomycetes bacterium
Lineage: Bacteria; Bacillati; Actinomycetota; Actinomycetes
Also listed under: 1 other name
Description: tRNA-Asp
Rfam family: tRNA
About the family: Transfer RNA (tRNA) molecules are approximately 80 nucleotides in length.
Source: RNAcentral